RNAcentral lists this ribosomal RNA (1183 nucleotides) under Lacticaseibacillus paracasei. Its description in RNAcentral is "bacterial SSU rRNA". It matches the Rfam family "Bacterial small subunit ribosomal RNA", at positions 278 to 1451 of the family's 1533-position model. The record is from RNAcentral. Lineage: Bacteria; Bacillati; Bacillota; Bacilli; Lactobacillales; Lactobacillaceae.
GAUACGUAGCCGAACUGAGAGGUUGAUCGGCCACAUUGGGACUGAGACACGGCCCAAACUCCUACGGGAGGCAGCAGUAGGGAAUCUUCCACAAUGGACGCAAGUCUGAUGGAGCAACGCCGCGUGAGUGAAGAAGGCUUUCGGGUCGUAAAACUCUGUUGUUGGAGAAGAAUGGUCGGCAGAGUAACUGUUGUCGGCGUGACGGUAUCCAACCAGAAAGCCACGGCUAACUACGUGCCAGCAGCCGCGGUAAUACGUAGGUGGCAAGCGUUAUCCGGAUUUAUUGGGCGUAAAGCGAGCGCAGGCGGUUUUUUAAGUCUGAUGUGAAAGCCCUCGGCUUAACCGAGGAAGCGCAUCGGAAACUGGGAAACUUGAGUGCAGAAGAGGACAGUGGAACUCCAUGUGUAGCGGUGAAAUGCGUAGAUAUAUGGAAGAACACCAGUGGCGAAGGCGGCUGUCUGGUCUGUAACUGACGCUGAGGCUCGAAAGCAUGGGUAGCGAACAGGAUUAGAUACCCUGGUAGUCCAUGCCGUAAACGAUGAAUGCUAGGUGUUGGAGGGUUUCCGCCCUUCAGUGCCGCAGCUAACGCAUUAAGCAUUCCGCCUGGGGAGUACGACCGCAAGGUUGAAACUCAAAGGAAUUGACGGGGGCCCGCACAAGCGGUGGAGCAUGUGGUUUAAUUCGAAGCAACGCGAAGAACCUUACCAGGUCUUGACAUCUUUUGAUCACCUGAGAGAUCAGGUUUCCCCUUCGGGGGCAAAAUGACAGGUGGUGCAUGGUUGUCGUCAGCUCGUGUCGUGAGAUGUUGGGUUAAGUCCCGCAACGAGCGCAACCCUUAUGACUAGUUGCCAGCAUUUAGUUGGGCACUCUAGUAAGACUGCCGGUGACAAACCGGAGGAAGGUGGGGAUGACGUCAAAUCAUCAUGCCCCUUAUGACCUGGGCUACACACGUGCUACAAUGGAUGGUACAACGAGUUGCGAGACCGCGAGGUCAAGCUAAUCUCUUAAAGCCAUUCUCAGUUCGGACUGUAGGCUGCAACUCGCCUACACGAAGUCGGAAUCGCUAGUAAUCGCGGAUCAGCACGCCGCGGUGAAUACGUUCCCGGGCCUUGUACACACCGCCCGUCACACCAUGAGAGUUUGUAACACCCGAAGCCGGUGGCGUAACCCUUUUAGGGAGCGA